GUUUCGUAAUUUCCCCCUCAUUAAAACCUAGAUCUGUAGCUUCUCUCCUCUCUCAGAAAAUUGCGCACUCUCCCCAUCACCACACCUUCCAGAUCCUUUCUCCCCCAUGACUUUGUCCUUUAUCACCACCACCAUCGUUUCUUUGCCUCUCGCCACUAUCAACCACCAACCACCGCCGCGCUGCCCCUCUUCUUUCCCCGACGUUGAGGUACGUCGCCGGCAAUCAUCAUGGAGAUCCGUUCGUCCUCACUCUCUAUCUAAAAUCUGGUAGUAUUCACCGGCGUUGGUAACAGAGACGUCGUCGUUGGUCAUCAUGGAGUCUGUGUGCAUUGUAUUAUGUUGAUGUUAAUCUGUUUUGAGUUCAAUAUGGUGUUGUGUUGGAGUUCAAUCUUUUCACUCUCAUUGAUGUGUUGUGCUACUGAUUUUGUUUUCUCUGAAUUUUGAUGGCUACGGGUAAAAAGGUAAAACAUUUAAUUUGUCUUUGAAAUUAUAUUUCUUUUGUUGUUCAACAUGUUUGUAAGUUUGCUUAAGUUUUCUUUUGCUUCAUGUUAUCUGGUGUGAAGCUAUGGACAUUGUAUUGAUUUAUUUCAUUAUUGUGUUUGCCUUUUGCAGUGAAAAAAUGUCUACAUGCUCUUCCAAUUUCAAAUGAGCACAAUUGAAAAGAUAGGAUGGGUCACUAUUUUGUUCUAGUUUUGCUGUUAGUGUUGUGUAUUGCUGUUUCGGUAGGAUUGUUUUCAGCUUUUGGGGGCUGCAUUCACUGUUGCUAUAUCUGUGAUUUUGCAGUGGUGGUUUUGUGCUCAGUUUUUUGCCUGGCACUGUGAGAGUUGGCCGCCGCAAUGCUGAGCUGUCGUGGCUUCGCUUUCUUGCUGCCGUGGCUUCGUUUUGCUGUGAAGUGUGUGUUUGCUCAGUUUUCUCAUGCCCUGUUAAUAAACUUGUCUAUAUCAAAGAAUAAAAAGGUCAAGUUAUAGAUUUUCUACCAAUUGCGUCUUCUUUAUAUGAAUUAUCCGAAACAGCACCAACUCGACAAGGUUGUAUAUGUUCAGAUAUAAUGAAGGAGAUGAGUAAUUAGAAAAUUGAGAAGCUGAAGGUCAAGUUAUCUGAUGAGAAGAAAAGAAUUGGGCAAUCAUUAUUUUUUGUUGUCAUGGAGAUUUUUGUUACUCGCGUACUUAGGUUUUAGUGGAAAAUUGAUGUUCUCAAGUGUAUUUGAUGUAUUUGUUACAAUUUUUUUUUAAGGGUUAAUUUGUUACACUUGUUGACCUAUUUUGUGGUUGUUUAGAACAAUUAUGCAAAAUUGAAGUUUAUUAAGUGGCUAUUUUAUGACUGAUUCAAAUCCAGUCAUCUAGUAUCUUGAUGAUAAAUUUUGUG
RNAcentral lists this long non-coding RNA (1365 nucleotides) under Medicago truncatula (barrel medic). RNAcentral's name for it is "long non-coding RNA (MTRU_LNC003622)". Lineage: Eukaryota; Viridiplantae; Streptophyta; Magnoliopsida; Fabales; Fabaceae. The record is from RNAcentral.